Molecule: ribosomal RNA, 482 nt
Filed under: uncultured bacterium
Lineage: Bacteria
Description: SSU rRNA
Rfam family: Bacterial small subunit ribosomal RNA
Source: RNAcentral
AGGACGAACGCUGGCGGCGUGCCUAACACAUGCAAGUCGAACGAGGUCCAACCGGUGGCAACACUGGUGAAGACCGAGUGGCGAACGGGUGAGUAACACGUGAGCAACCUGCCUCGAAGACUGGGAUAACCCCGGGAAACCGGAGCUAAUACCGGAUACCCCCACCGGGUCGCAUGGCCUGGUGAGGAAAUGGAUUCCGCUUUGAGAGGGGCUCGCGGCCUAUCAGCUUGAUGGUGGGGUAACGGCCUACCAUGGCACCGACGGGUAGCUGGUCUGAGAGGACGAUCAGCCACACUGGGACUGAGACACGGCCCAGACUCCUACGGGAGGCAGCAGUGGGGAAUCUUGCGCAAUGGGCGAAAGCCUGACGCAGCAACGCCGCGUGUGGGACGAAGGCCUUCUGGGUUGUAAACCACUUUCAGCAGGGACGAUUGUGACGGUACCUGCAGAGAGCCCGGCAACUACGCGCCAGCAGCCGCGGU